Molecule: long non-coding RNA, 5843 nt
Filed under: Homo sapiens (human)
Lineage: Eukaryota; Metazoa; Chordata; Mammalia; Primates; Hominidae
Description: HSALNT0264925
Source: RNAcentral
UUAAAAUGCUAAAAGAAGAAGAAACAGUGGACAGCAAGAAUACACACAUUCAUGUUUGCUUAUAUAUGGGUAAAGAAACUCAGGAAAGUUACAGGAGGAGCUAAUAACAGUGGUUAAUUACAAUGGUAGAGGAGAGGCUUGGCAGAUAAGGGACUCGUUUGCAGAUAUGACUUUCCUUUGUGUACAUUUCUAUAUAUUAUUUUACUUCUUCUGAAAAUGCCACAUAAUUUGCAAUAAAUGAUUCACUCCUUAGCUCCAAAAGCAAGUCCUUUAUCAAAAUGCAAAUGUUCCAGAGGGAUGUAGCCAGAUUCUGUGGACCGCCGUCUUUUUCACCCUUAAGAAUCCGUCGCUAUGAUUUCUCUUCCUCUGCUUGGAGACCUUUAGAGAGCCAGCCUGCAGCUGCUCAGAGCAUUGACUACUAAACAGCUCACAGUUGCUAUUGCUGAAAAUGCCCGGUGGUUAUGCCUUGCCUGACCAGGGGUAGCCCACAGCUGAUGACAGGCCCCCUUGCCUCAAGGUGGGACAACUUCGGUGGUGCCAUUCAUAUCCAGAGCUGCCUGGAAUCAGGCCGAGGCUGGACAUCAGCCGACCCCGCAUCUUUGCUGAGUUUAUUCCUCUGCUGUACUUCCCUCGCUUCCCUCACCUCCUUCUUGGUUUCUCCUGAGAGCCUCCCUCAAUAAAUCACUUACCCCAGAAUCCUUGUCUCAGACUCCGCUUCUAGGACCCAACUUAAGACAUUCACAAAAUAAAUCACAUUGAUGGAAAACAGAUCCCAUUCUCCAAAAUGAAUAACCAGUAGGCACUUGUGACUAGCACAAGCAUCAGCAUAUCCACAUGGUGCUAAACUAACACCAACCCAAAGCAGAUAGUGCUGGGUGGACUCGGUACAAGUUAAUAGCUCAUGGGUCUCCAUCCCCAACACCUUCAGACCCAAGGCUCCAGGGCUGCCAGCCUGAGAACCCUAAGUCAUGAUUUUGGGCACUUUGGCUGGAUUUCCUAGCAACUGGCUGAGAGCAGGACAGGUAAACAGAGUUGGGAGGAGGAAGCAAAAAAGGCUAGAGUGGACAUCAGUUGACUUUGCCUGCCAUGGUAGAGACUUUCAGUCAUCCACCAUAAUCCAUCCCCAUUCUGCUGCACAGAAGUAUUGUGGCUGAGACACCUGCUUUUCUCCACCCCUCUAGUUAAUGUGACUAAAUUCUCCCUAUGGAAUGGGAAUGGAAGGGCCAUACCCAGGCCAGUGUCUUCAGGUAGGGGCUGUGACCCUUCCACACCUGUACCAGACACAAUCAUCAUCUCACUGGGUUUUGCCAGCUUUCAGGUCUAUGUGCUGAAAGCUGCUUACAGCUAACCUCUGCAGAUUUUCCUGGCACAGGAGGCAUGCUUGGCCAGUGCACAGGGCAAGUUGGAAGGGCCCUAAUGUCAGCAGCCUUCAACCAAUGAUGGAUGGAAAGUUGCAGACAGUGUCCUAUGCAUCUGCAGUGGGAUAACUCUGAGACGUGUGCUGUACUGCCUCCUAGAGGGCCCAGGGUGAUUAAGCACCAGUUACCCACAGCAGUAACUUCCUUGAUUCUGUUCCCCACAUGGGCACUUUUCUUCCUGUCACACCUCCCCAAUCCCCUGCAGAUACUUUCUGGGAUUGCUUCCUAAACAAUCCACUUGAACUUUUUUUUUUUUUCUUUUUUUUGACAUGGAGUAUUGCUCUUGUUGCCCAGGUUGGAGUGCAAUGGCACGAUCUUGGCUCACUGCAACUUCCGCUUCCUGGGUUCAAGCAAUUCUCCUGCCUCAGCCUCCUGAGUAGCUGGGAUUACAGGCGCCUGCCAUCACGCCUGGCUAAUUUUUGUAUUUUCAGUAGAGACGGGGUUUCGCCAUGUUGGCCACGCUGGUCUCAAACUCCUGACCUCGUGAUCUGCCCGCCUCGGCCUCCCAAAGUGCUGGGAUUACCGGCGUGAGCCACCGUGCCCAGCCCCACUUGAACUUUAAUCCUUGCCUCGGAAUUGGCUUCUGGGGAAACCAAAAAUAUAUUAAAAAAAGAGAGACCAGGACCUUAAAAAGAGCCCAAGUUGUUGAGCUCCCUGCCAAGUCACCCCCAGGUAUCUCUGCCCACCAGCUUGCAUGAGCCAGAUCCUCAGUGCAGGUUUUUCCAAUCAGUCAUUUGUUCUUCCACCCAACGCUCAAGAUUUGCUUCUUCAAGACAACUCUCUGAUCAGCUGAGACCCAUAGACACCCAGCUUCUACCACACAUAUGAUGGCAUUAUCCUAGGGCAUGGCAGAGCAACGCAAGGGAAAACUCUGGGCCCCCAAGUGAUGUCAUGGAGGAGAACUCUCAACCCAGAACUACUACGUGAGAAACAACGCUCUCUCUUCUUUAAGCCAUAGGUGUGUUGGGAAUCUUUGUUACAGCAGCACGCCUGAUCUUUUGUUUUGUUUUGUUUUGUUUUAGAGAUGGAGUCUUGCUCUUUCGCCAGGCUGGAGUGCAGUGGUGCGAUCUUGGCUCACCAUGUUGGUCAGGCUGGUUUCAAAUCCCUGACCUCAAGUGAUCCUCCCACCUUGGCCUCCCAAAGUGCUGGGAUUACAGGUGUGAGCCACCGCACCCGGCCCAGCCAUGCCUUGUCUUAACUAGCAUAGCCGCCCAACGUCCACUUCUUUUGGCCAUGUUGUCCUGAUUCUGCUGGAGAAUCCCUUUCCCACUGCUCCCAGACCAGUGGUGUAGCUGACCUGCGCUCUCUCCACUCAAUUCAGGGGAGGGAGGGGUUUAGGCCUGGGCUAAGAGAGCUGCACAUUUCCCAGGGCACAGUGAUUAGUUGAGGGUGGGUCCCAGAGCCAAAUCUGCCCAAGAUCUUAGCCUGAAAGAGAAACCCUCCUGCUGAGUGACUGCACUGUGAGGCAGAAGUCCAGAGCUGUGGGUGGCCAUCCAGCCUCCAUUUGCGCCUGCCUGAGAAAGAAGCCACCAUGGGGGAAAUCGAGCUAAAAGACGGAGAGGGAGGUAAGAGAGGAUGACAUCACAUAAGCACCAGAUCUGGCCACCCCUGAAACUGGAACAACCCUAAGCUUUACAGCUACUACAUUCCCUUUUCUGCUGAAGUUGUUUUACACUGGGUUUCUGUCUCUUGCAACCAAGAGCUCUGUUAAAUAAAAACCUGACCCUAAGGAGAACGUUAGCUGGUUCACAAUUCCCUGUGCAAAACAGGCACAGGUCAGCUGCCCCAGCCUGUCGUUUGGAUAUUCCUUUCUAAGAACGCUCACUUUUGUUGUCUACAUGACCCAGAUAACCAAGGAGAAAGCAAAUCAACCGCCUUCCAGCGGCGCCUUCCUUGGCAGCAAGUGCUAAGAGAGAACACAAUGUGAGUACUCUGCCCUCUGGAGUCAGGGUUGAUCCUCAGCACUUGCUGUCCUGGGAGGCUGCACCUGUGACACUUGAGUGCCAGGUUCAACCCCUACUGCUGCUGCUGCUGCCUGAAUGGGGCCAUUUAGACUGUUGAGUGCUACAGCCUCAGCCCAGGAACCCGGAGCUUCACAUGAGGCAGAGCAGGGCCCCAGGGUCCCUGAAACUUGCCAGUUCAAACAGCAGAGGGGUGAGGACUCCCCAGUCAGCCCUGGUCUCAUACCUGCCUCUGCAUGGUCCCAGUCCAGCCUGAGGCCUUUGCUUUCUUUUUUGAAGGGAAGGUGAGGAGAGAGGGGGAAAAUAGAGGUGUUCUGACUAGACUUAGGAUUCCUGGCCUCUGCCUCUGACCGCCAGAGGACAGCCUCUGCAGUUGCCUCAUCUACUCAUGAAAACAGGCCUGUGACCCCAGGGGUGCUCUGAGGAUUCUUCCAGAAAACAUCUGCCCAGCUAGGACUACCUAGCUCACUGCCCAAAAAGGGUUCAUUUCCUUUCCUUCUGAAACAAAAGCGCUUAAUUGGAAGAGAAGCAUUGACUCAAGCUAUAGGAUAUGCCACUUAAAAUGUCCAGAUCUUGGCACAAGGCCUGGCGCACAGUGUGGGAGAGAAGGAGAGAAGAAGGUGGAAGGAAAGGAGGGAGGGGAAAGAGGAAGCAGGGAGGGAGAAAAUAAGACAAGGGCCUCCUCAUCUGGAUGCUUCCCUAGACCAAGAAGUGGCCCAGGUGGUGCCCAGGGGACAGGGAGUGGGCAAUAAAAGACAAUGGGGUGUAGGUGAUAGGGUGUAGAUGAUCAGGGUAUAGGUGAUCAGGAUGUAGGUGAUGGGGUGUAGAUGACUGGGGUAUAGAUGAUUGAAGUGUAGGUGAUGGGGUAUAGAUGAUCGAGGUGUAGGUGAUGGGGUAUAGAUGAUUGAGGUGUAGGUGAUGGGGGUCAAGGUGAUCAAGGUGUUGGUGAUGGGGUGUUGGUGAUCGGGGUGUAAGUGAUGAGGUAUAGGUGGUGGGGUGUAGAUGAUUGGGGUGUAGGUGAUGGGGUGUAGGUGACGGGUAUAGGUGAUGGGGUAUAGAUGAUCAGGGUGUAGGUGAUUGGGGUAUAGGUGAGCAGGGUGUAAGUGAAGGGGUAUAGGUGGUGGGGUAUAGAUGAUCAGGUGUAGGUGACUGGGGUUUGGGUGAUGGGGUGUAGGUGAUGGGGUAUAGAUGAUUGAGGUAUCGGUGAUGGGGGUCAAGGUGAUCAAGGUGUAGGUGAUGGGGUGUUGGUGAUUGGGGUGUAGGUGAUCAGGGUGUAAGUGAUGAGGUAUAGGUGAUGCAGUGUAGGUGAUCAGGGUAUAGGUGAUGAGGUGUAGGUGAUGGAGUGUAGAUGAUUGAGGUGUAGGUGAUGGGGUAUAGGUGAUUGGGGUGUAGGCAAUGGGGUGUAGGUGAUCGGGGUCAAGGUGAUAGAGGUGUAGGUGAUGGGGUGUUGGUGAUUGGGGUGUAGGUGAUCAGGGUGUAGGUGAUCAGGGUGUAGGUGAUCCGAACUUCCUACUCAAUUCAGGCAACAGCUCCCAGCCUGAGGCAAAUACCCCCCGAGGCAGUCAGGGUCUCACCUCCCAUGGCUCUGACGCAGGCCUCCAAGGUGAGGAGAUGGAGGUAGCAGAGGUCACUUCACUCAGCUGUCACACACCCUGAGGGAACUCCUGUCACUGUUAUCCCACCUGCAAGUGAGGAGCCAGCAUUUCUCAUGCUCCAGGGUUGGCCACAGAGCCCAUUCAAGGGAGGGAGAAGAGCCUUCGGCCAGCGCAUCCUAACCGCAGAAAGCCAAGACCUCUGCAGAAAAAGAGACCAGGCCCAUAAAAAGAGAUCCAUGAGUUGAGUUCCCUGCCAUGCCACCCCCAGGCAUCUCUGCCCACCAGCCUGCAUGAGCCAGCCCCUCAGUGCAGGUUUUUCCAAUUGGCCGUUUGUUCUUCCACCCAACACUCAAGAUUUGCUUCUCAGCCUGGACAACAUAGCAAAACCCCAUCUCUACAAAAAAUACAAAAAUUAGCUGGGCAUAGUGGCACACACCUAUAGUCCCAGCUACUCGGGAGGCUGAAGUGGGAAGAUUACCUGAGCCUGGGAGGUCAAGGUUGCAGUGAGCCAUGAUCAUGCCACUGUACUCCAGCCUGGGUGACAGAGUGAGAACUUGUCUCAAAAACAAAAAAAGAGAGGAAGAUCUGCUUCUUCAAACCCACACAACUAAUAUAAAGUAAUCAACCUCCCCACCUCAAUAACCUGAAGUUAAACAUCACACAAUAAGCCCUGAACAGAGAGCUGUAGGUCAAUGUUCCAUUUUGCUUUUAAAAGCUUCACAAGAACAUUUCAUUUAUUAAAAUAGUUUCUGUAAACUCUUUCAGAAUAACAAAAUUCACUUGCCUUGCUUAAACAGCAUUUCAAGUAGAAGUAUUUUUAUUUCAAGGCACCAUAAAAUGAUGAUCUCUCUAAGAAAUACCUCUCCUUC